GGGUUCUUCCGGACUUUCUCUCUCUCUCUCUCUCUCUCUCUCUCUCUGUGUGUGUGUGUGUGUGUGUGUGUGUGAGAGAGAGAGAGAGAGAGAGAGAGAGAGAGAGAGUCAUUCUUCGUAC
This is a non-coding RNA of Podarcis lilfordi (Lilford's wall lizard), 121 nucleotides long. Lineage: Eukaryota; Metazoa; Chordata; Lepidosauria; Squamata; Lacertidae. The record is from the annotation of a GenBank genome assembly.